Molecule: ribosomal RNA, 429 nt
Filed under: Chloroflexota bacterium
Lineage: Bacteria; Bacillati; Chloroflexota
Description: Chloroflexi bacterium partial 16S ribosomal RNA
Rfam family: Bacterial small subunit ribosomal RNA
Source: RNAcentral
UGGGGAAUAUUGCACAAUGGGCGCAAGCCUGAUGCAGCCAUACCGCGUGUAUGAAGAAGGCCUUCGGGUUGUAAAGUACUUUCAGCGGGGAGGAAGGGAGUAAAGUUAAUACCUUUGCUCAUUGACGUUACCCGCAGAAGAAGCACCGGCUAACUCCGUGCCAGCAGCCGCGGUAAUACGGAGGGUGCAAGCGUUAAUCGGAAUUACUGGGCGUAAAGCGCACGCAGGCGGUUUGUUAAGUCAGAUGUGAAAUCCCCGGGCUCAACCUGGGAACUGCAUCUGAUACUGGCAAGCUUGAGUCUCGUAGAGGGGGGUAGAAUUCCAGGUGUAGCGGUGAAAUGCGUAGAGAUCUGGAGGAAUACCGGUGGCGAAGGCGGCCCCCUGGACGAAGACUGACGCUCAGGUGCGAAAGCGUGGGGAGCAAACAGG